UACGUAGGGGGCAAGCGUUGUCCGGAUUUACUGGGCGUAAAGCGCGUGUAGGCGGCCUGACAAGUCUGCUGUGAAAACUCGAGGCUCAACCUCGAGAUGUCGGCGGAAACCGUCUGGCUAGAGUCCGGAAGAGGAGAGUGGAAUUCCUGGUGUAGCGGUGAAAUGCGCAGAUAUCAGGAAGAACACCUAUGGCGAAGGCAGCUCUCUGGGACGGUACUGACGCUGAGACGCGAAAGCGUGGGGAGCGAACAGG
RNAcentral lists this ribosomal RNA (253 nucleotides) under uncultured bacterium. RNAcentral's name for it is "partial 16S ribosomal RNA". It matches the Rfam family "Bacterial small subunit ribosomal RNA", at positions 524 to 776 of the family's 1533-position model. The record is from RNAcentral.